RNAcentral lists this ribosomal RNA (503 nucleotides) under uncultured bacterium. RNAcentral's name for it is "partial 16S ribosomal RNA". It matches the Rfam family "Bacterial small subunit ribosomal RNA", at positions 30 to 523 of the family's 1533-position model. The record is from RNAcentral.
AUUGAACGCUGGCGGCAGGCUUAACACAUGCAAGUCGAGCGGAGUGAUGGUGCUUGCACUAUCACUUAGCGGCGGACGGGUGAGUAAUGCUUAGGAAUCUGCCUAUUAGUGGGGGACAACAUCUCGAAAGGGAUGCUAAUACCGCAUACGUCCUACGGGAGAAAGCAGGGGAUCACUUGUGACCUUGCGCUAAUAGAUGAGCAUAAGUCGGAUUAGCUAGUUGGUGGGGUAAAGGCCUACCAAGGCGACGAUCUGUAGCGGGUCUGAGAGGAUGAUCCGCCACACUGGGACUGAGACACGGCCCAGACUCCUACGGGAGGCAGCAGUGGGGAAUAUUGGACAAUGGGGGGAACCCUGAUCCAGCCAUGCCGCGUGUGUGAAGAAGGCCUUAUGGUUGUAAAGCACUUUAAGCGAGGAGGAGGCUCUUUUGGUUAAUACCCAAGAUGAGUGGACGUUACUCACAGAAUAAGCACCGGCUAACUCUGUGCCAGCCGCCGCGGUAA